This 409-nucleotide long non-coding RNA is filed under the name Ananas comosus (pineapple). RNAcentral describes it as "long non-coding RNA (ACOM_LNC032900)". The record is from RNAcentral. Lineage: Eukaryota; Viridiplantae; Streptophyta; Magnoliopsida; Poales; Bromeliaceae.
AAUUUUUCUAGAGUUCAUAAUGUGACUCAAAUUAUCUACAAAUUCUGAAAGUGAAACCUUUAAAGAUGAGAAUGAGAGAUGGUUUAUCAGAGAAGAUGACAUGCUAGAGCUUCCUGAAGAAUAAAUGGUAGAAGUACUAGUAGUUAGCAUGGGAGAGUAGUAAAAAUAGCAACUUUACUAGUUAAAAUGGAGAAUAAAAGUGGCAGCAGCAGCAGGUUGGUGAAGGAGCGAGCUCGGCGGGGUGAACCGGCGGGAAGGGCGCUCAGGCGAAACUCCGGCGGGCGACGAGGAAGGGCGGCGCUGCGGGCGCGAGCGCGAGAAGCCGAGCCAGACCCACAGCGUCUUCUGGGAGACUUGGUAGUCGGCUCACGCCGUCAUCAGCACGCCCCGCUUGAGGUCGACGCCGGCG